RNAcentral lists this ribosomal RNA (253 nucleotides) under uncultured bacterium. RNAcentral's name for it is "partial 16S ribosomal RNA". It matches the Rfam family "Bacterial small subunit ribosomal RNA", at positions 524 to 776 of the family's 1533-position model. The record is from RNAcentral.
UACGUAGGGAGCAAGCGUUGUCCGGAAUCAUUGGGCGUAAAGCGCGCGUAGGCGGUUCGGUAAGUGGGAUGUGAAAGCCCUGGGCUCAACCUGGGAACUGCAUUCCAAACUGCCGAGCUAGAGUGUGGUAGAGGGAGGUAGAAUUUCCUGUGUAGCGGUGAAAUGCGUAGAUAUAGGAAGGAAUACCAGUGGCGAAGGCGGCCUCCUGGAUCAACACUGACGCUGAGGUGCGAAAGCGUGGGGAGCAAACAGG